This 403-nucleotide ribosomal RNA is filed under the name Verrucomicrobiota bacterium. Its description in RNAcentral is "Verrucomicrobia bacterium partial 16S ribosomal RNA". It matches the Rfam family "Bacterial small subunit ribosomal RNA", at positions 355 to 776 of the family's 1533-position model. The record is from RNAcentral. Lineage: Bacteria; Pseudomonadati; Verrucomicrobiota.
UGGGGAAUAUUGCGCAAUGGGGGCAACCCUGACGCAGCAACGCCGCGUGCGGGACGACGGCCUUCGUGUUGUAAACCGCUUUCAGCAGGGAAGAUAGUGACGGUACCUGCACAAGAAGCCCCGGCUAACUACGUGCCAGCAGCCGCGGUAAUACGUAGGGGGCGAGCGUUAUCCGGAUUCAUUGGGCGUAAAGCGCGCGCAGGCGGCUCUUCAAGCGGAACCUCUAACCCUGGGGCUCAACCUCGGGCCGGGUUCCGAACUGGUGGGCUCGAGUGCGGUAGAGGCAGGCGGAAUUCCCGGUGGUGCGGUGGAAUGCGCAGAUAUUAGGAGGAAUACCGGUGGCGAAGGCGACUUUCUGGCCAUAAUCUGACGCUGAGGUACGAAAGCGUGGGUAGCAAACAGG